This 361-nucleotide ribosomal RNA is filed under the name uncultured bacterium. RNAcentral's name for it is "partial 16S ribosomal RNA". It matches the Rfam family "Bacterial small subunit ribosomal RNA", at positions 338 to 696 of the family's 1533-position model. The record is from RNAcentral.
CCUACGGGGGGCAGCAGUGAGGAAUAUUGGGCAAUGGGCGGAAGCCUGAACCAGCCAAGCCGCGUGAGGGAUGAAGGUUCUAUGGAUCGUAAACCUCUUUUAUAAGGGAAUAAAGUGCGGGACGUGUCCCGUUUCGUAUGUACCUUAUGAAUAAGGAUAGGCUAACCUCGUGCCAGCAGCCGCGGUAAUACGGAGGAUCCGAGCGUUAUCCGGAUUGAUUGGGUUUAAAGGGUGCGUAGGCGGCCUUUUAAGUCAGCGGUGAAAGUCUGUGGCUCAACCCUAGAAUUGCCGUUGAUACUGGGAGACUUGAGUAUGUUAGAGGCAGGCGGAAUUCGUGGUGUAGCGGUGAAAUGCUUAGAUA